GACGAACGCUGGCGGCGUGCUUAACACAUGCAAGUCGAACGGUGAACGAGGGAGCUUGCUCCCUCCGGAUCAGUGGCGAACGGGUGAGUAACACGUGAGCAAUCUGCCCCGAACUCUGGGAUAAGCGUUGGAAACGACGUCUAAUACCGGAUACGACGCGGGAGGGCAUCCUCUCCGCGUGGAAAGAACUUCGGUUCGGGAUGAGCUCGCGGCCUAUCAGCUUGUAGGUGAGGUAACGGCUCACCAAGGCGACGACGGGUAGCCGGCCUGAGAGGGUGACCGGCCACACUGGGACUGAGACACGGCCCAGACUCCUACGGGAGGCAGCAGUGGGGAAUAUUGCACAAUGGGCGCAAGCCUGAUGCAGCAACGCCGCGUGAGGGACGACGGCCUUCGGGUUGUAAACCUCUUUUAGCAGGGAAGAAGCGAAAGUGACGGUACCUGCAGAAAAAGCACCGGCUAACUACGUG
RNAcentral lists this ribosomal RNA (470 nucleotides) under uncultured bacterium. Its description in RNAcentral is "partial 16S ribosomal RNA". It matches the Rfam family "Bacterial small subunit ribosomal RNA", at positions 28 to 507 of the family's 1533-position model. The record is from RNAcentral.